UGGCAACACUGAAGACUGAAACGCUUUGUUUAUCCACAGAAUAAAUGCAGGGAAAUGAGCAUCUAUGCAAGCCUUCACAUUAUCAAUGUGCCUCUAAACUGACUAAUUUGCAGAGGCUCCAGGUAGUGGUGAGAGUGUGUAACAGUGUUCUUGGCUGAGGUAGCCAACAAAGGAUUAU
This 178-nucleotide small RNA is filed under the name Crocodylus porosus (Australian saltwater crocodile). RNAcentral's name for it is "TUC338 (ENSCPRG00005000265.1)". The record is from RNAcentral. Lineage: Eukaryota; Metazoa; Chordata; Crocodylia; Crocodylidae.